AAGGACGACAUUAGACGAAUCAUCUGGAAAGAUGAAUCAAAGAAGGUAAUAAUCCUGUAGUCGAAAAUGUUGUCUCUCUUGAGUGGAUCCUGAGUACGACGGAGCACGUGAAAUUCCGUCGGAAUCUGGGAGGACCAUCUCCUAAGGCUAAAUACUCUCUAGUGACCGAUAGUGAACCAGUACCGUGAGGGAAAGGUGAAAAGCACCCCGGAAGGGGAGUGAAAUAGAACCUGAAACCGUGUGCUUACAAGUAGUCAGAGCCCGUUAAUGGGUGAUGGCGUGCCUUUUGUAGAAUGAACCGGCGAGUUACGAUUUGAUGCAAGGUUAAGCAGUAAAUGUGGAGCCGUAGCGAAAGCGAGUCUGAAUAGGGCGUUUAGUAUUUGGUCGUAGACCCGAAACCAGGUGAUCUACCCUUGGUCAGGUUGAAGUUCAGGUAACACUGAAUGGAGGACCGAACCGACUUACGUUGAAAAGUGAGCGGAUGAACUGAGGGUAGCGGAGAAAUUCCAAUCGAACCUGGAGAUAGCUGGUUCUCUCCGAAAUAGCUUUAGGGCUAGCCUCAAGUGAUGAUUAUUGGAGGUAGAGCACUGUUUGGACGAGGGGCCCCUCUCGGGUUACCGAAUUCAGACAAACUCCGAAUGCCAAUUAAUUUAACUUGGGAGUCAGAACAUGGGUGAUAAGGUCCGUGUUCGAAAGGGAAACAGCCCAGACCACCAGCUAAGGUCCCAAAAUAUAUGUUAAGUGGAAAAGGAUGUGGCGUUGCCCAGACAACUAGGAUGUUGGCUUAGAAGCAGCCAUCAUUUAAAGAGUGCGUAAUAGCUCACUAGUCGAGUGACACUGCGCCGAAAAUGUACCGGGGCUAAACAUAUUACCGAAGCUGUGGAUUGUCCUUUGGACAAUGGUAGGAGAGCGUUCUAAGGGCGUUGAAGCAUGAUCGUAAGGACAUGUGGAGCGCUUAGAAGUGAGAAUGCCGGUGUGAGUAGCGAAAGACGGGUGAGAAUCCCGUCCACCGAUUGACUAAGGUUUCCAGAGGAAGGCUCGUCCGCUCUGGGUUAGUCGGGUCCUAAGCUGAGGCCGACAGGCGUAGGCGAUGGAUAACAGGUUGAUAUUCCUGUACCACCUAUAAUCGUUUUAAUCGAUGGGGGGACGCAGUAGGAUAGGCGAAGCGUGCGAUUGGAUUGCACGUCUAAGCAGUAAGGCUGAGUAUUAGGCAAAUCCGGUACUCGUUAAGGCUGAGC
RNAcentral lists this ribosomal RNA (1238 nucleotides) under Staphylococcus aureus. Its description in RNAcentral is "partial 23S ribosomal RNA". It matches the Rfam family "Bacterial large subunit ribosomal RNA", at positions 319 to 1561 of the family's 2925-position model. Lineage: Bacteria; Bacillati; Bacillota; Bacilli; Caryophanales; Staphylococcaceae. The record is from RNAcentral.